UCUUAGUUACGAACAUAAUGUAUUUCUAUAAGUGUUUCUUUUUCUUAUUUAUUAUUUUGAUGACUUUGUGCUUAAGUAACGCUUAUCCAGGGUUUAAGGGAUUAGGUCCUCAUCGCCAUAAUAAUUUUAGACGCAAUUGGGAUAGAAAAAUACGACGAGUAUGGGAAGAUAUAUUGGAAUGAGUUUAAAUUUACGACGACACUAAAUUAAAAGUAUUGGCACAUUGGAAUUUUUAAGUAUUUGGGAUUAUCACCAAAUUUACCAAAUUUCCUGAAGCUUCAUAUAGUGUAUCUCUUAAGUUACUUAUUUAAUUACAUCAAAAUUAGUUUCAAAUAAAUUAUAUUUG
Molecule: long non-coding RNA, 346 nt
Organism: Leptidea sinapis
Lineage: Eukaryota; Metazoa; Arthropoda; Insecta; Lepidoptera; Pieridae
Exons: 3
Source: RefSeq, a predicted model, not a curated record